UAGUGGUCCAGCGGUUAGGGCAACUACAUUUAAAAUGAUUUGACCCGGUUUCGAUUCCCGGAUUAUCAA
Non-coding RNA from Trichonephila clavata, 69 nucleotides. NCBI's taxonomy places the organism in Eukaryota, Metazoa, Arthropoda, Arachnida, Araneae, Nephilidae. The record is from the annotation of a GenBank genome assembly.